AGCGAAAGCUGUGCUAAUACCGCAUACGAUCUACGGAUGAAAGCAGGGGACCGCAAGGCCUUGCGCGAGUGGAGCGGCCGAUGGCAGAUUAGGUAGUUGGUGAGGUAAAGGCUCACCAAGCCGUCGAUCUGUAGCUGGUCUGAGAGGACGACCAGCCACACUGGGACUGAGACACGGCCCAGACUCCUACGGGAGGCAGCAGUGGGGAAUUUUGGACAAUGGGCGCAAGCCUGAUCCAGCAAUGCCGCGUGCAGGAUGAAGGCCUUCGGGUUGUAAACUGCUUUUGUACGGAACGAAACGGUUCUCUCUAAUACAGGGGGCUAAUGACGGUACCGUAAGAAUAAGCACCGGCUAACUACGUGCCAGCAGCCGCGGUAAUACGUAGGGUGCGAGCGUUAAUCGGAAUUACUGGGCGUAAAGCGUGCGCAGGCGGUUAUGUAAGACAGUUGUGAAAUCCCCGGGCUCAACCUGGGAAUUGCAUCUGUGACUGCAUAGCUAGAGUACGGUAGAGGGGGAUGGAAUUCCGCGUGUAGCAGUGAAAUGCGUAGAUAUGCGGAGGAACACCGAUGGCGAA
RNAcentral lists this ribosomal RNA (574 nucleotides) under Variovorax paradoxus. Its description in RNAcentral is "bacterial SSU rRNA". It matches the Rfam family "Bacterial small subunit ribosomal RNA", at positions 150 to 719 of the family's 1533-position model. Lineage: Bacteria; Pseudomonadati; Pseudomonadota; Betaproteobacteria; Burkholderiales; Comamonadaceae. The record is from RNAcentral.